Molecule: long non-coding RNA, 3300 nt
Filed under: Sorghum bicolor (sorghum)
Lineage: Eukaryota; Viridiplantae; Streptophyta; Magnoliopsida; Poales; Poaceae
Description: long non-coding RNA (SBIC_LNC016789)
Source: RNAcentral
AGGAAACUGUAUCUGCUGGAAGAACUGUCAAUUGAAAUGUUGUCAAAGUCUUCGCUUCCAGGUGAAGAAGGCAUUGAAGAAACACUCUCAAGGUCUGUGUCACCGUGACCCCGUUCAGAUCCUGCAUACUCCAACAUCAGUUGUUUAGCCCUCUCCUGUGAUUUGGGGCUCAGUGUCCUGUUAAGAUCACGUGCAGACACCUUCCCUGAUGGAGUCUGAUAGUUGCGGAGUUCGAAUCUCAGACAGGCAUUGACCCAGCGCAGGUAUACCAACUCCUCUACUUCACUGAACCUGUUCAUCUGUAGGCCUUCCACUUGCUUUGUGAGGUCCUCAUUUGUAUGCCUCAGCUUGUUUAUCUCUUCCCUUGCAUUGGCAACUACAUCACUCUACAUGAUAAAUGGUAGGGUAUGCAAUUAGCACAUGUUCCUGCUUCCCAAACUAUAUCAAAACUAUAUGAAUACUUUGCAGAAAUCACUAGGUGCAUUCUUGCCUCUUAGAGAACCUUAAAUUCUGAUGUAGUUGUUAAAUGUAAUGCUACCUCUUAAAUCAUGCUUUAGUUUUAGGUAACUGCAUUUCGUUGUACUGGUCUGAAAAUAUGUUAAUACUAGACUGUGUAAUAUCCUGCAUAAUGAUAACCAUGUAUAAGAGGAAGUUACAAAUUUUCUGUCAUCUUCAUGAGAUUUGUCUUAUGUCUAUGAGACUGGCAACUUAUAAAGACUAAUAGUACUAAGAUACCUCAGUUAUUUUCCCUUCAGCUGCAUCCAACUUCACAAUGAGAUCUCUCUUCUCGUACAACAACUCCUUGUUCUUCCUUCUUAGCUCAAGUACCUCCACUUCGAACUCCUUGAGCUUCUUCAGCUUCCGCUCAACCUCGACUUCCUUUUUUGCCGCCUCUUCCUCCUUGGCCUUCAAUCCGAUGACCUGCUGUUUCAGCAGCAUCAGCUGACCUUUUGUCUGGCCUGCUUCCAGCUGUAUCUGCCGCUGCAGCUCCUUUAUCUUGCUCCUAGCCACUUCGAGCUCUUUCUUGGCAACUUCUCCACGUGCAACGUCAUCUUGCAGUUUCUUCCGCUCCUCCUGCAGUGAGUUUAUGGUGUCGUUGAGCAUGUUGAUCUCCACUGCCUUGAUCUUGAGCUGCUUUUGCAGCUCAGUGACAUCAGUCUCCAUUUCCUUCAUUCCAUAGUACUCCAGCAGCUCGCCCUCAAGCUUCGCCUCCCUCUCUUCCAUCUCCCUCACCAGGCUGCGCAGUCUCUCUAUCUCAGAGGCCACGUUAGCCAUGUAAGAAAGCUCGCCCUCAAGCUUUGCCUCCCUCUCUUCCAUCUCCAUCACCAGGCUGCGCAGCCUCUCUAUCUCAGAGGCCUCAUUAGCCAUGUAAGCAAGCUGGCCCUCAAGCUUUGCCUCCCUCUCUUCCAUCUCCCUCACCAGGCUGCGCAGUCUCUCUAUCUCAGAGGCCUUGUUAGCCAUGUAAGCAAGCUCGCCCUCAAGCUUUGCCUCCCUCUCUUCCAUCUCUCUCACCAGGCUGCGCAGUCUCUCUAUCUCAGAGGCCUCGUUAGCCAUGUAAGCAAGCUCGCCCUCAAGCUUUGCCUCCCUUUCUUCCAUCUCUCUCACCAGGCUGCGCAGUCUCUCUAUCUCAGAGGCCUCGUUAGCCAUGUAAGCAUUGUACCGUGGCCGUCCAUUGACAUCAAACCGAUCACGUGGUAUAGGGAUGUCAAUGUCUCCUGACAGGAGGCUCUCGAUCUCGGAAAGCAUAUCAUCAUCGUCAUCGUCUAGUGAACGGGCUGAGUUAAUUAUGCCACUGAUUGUUUUGACCUCUUCCUCCUCUUCUUUCUCCCCAUCCUCUUCUUCUCUCUCCCCCUGUAACAGCAGUUGGAGAGGUCAGUAUGACAUAGGCCACUAAUACAGCACAAUUUUCUUUGAGCAAACUUUAACUGAUAUAAGAUGUACGUACAUGUUCAGAAUUGCGAGCCUUAUCCUCCCUUUUCCUUGCUUGGUCAUUGUCUGAAAGCAGGGAUGCUUGAAUGAAGACUCAAAUGAAUGGAAGAAACAUAUAGAAGAGAGUGCAGAGCAAGAUUGGUACCCUUGUUGUGCCUGCCCCCAUUGUUAGCUCUCUGAAGAGUUAAAGCUGCGACAGAGGCUACAACGACAAAGCCUAAUCUCACAAGCAUGACUCCGUUCACUCAUCACUCUGCCGGCCUCAACCGGCAGGACGGCCGAGACGGGGAGCCUCUACUCAUCAAGAACAAGAAAAGGUGAAGUGGAGUUAGAGCAGGUAUGGACGCCCUAGCAGGCUAAACUCUCUUCAUAUCUUUUAGGAUUUAGCUCCGAGAUGGAUUGCAGGAGCUGCUUGCCUGCGAGAGCUGAUGAACAUACACCACCAAAACAUGUGGCUGGUUUUAUUCGUCCCAUUUUGGCGCUGCAAUUGCCUGUAUGUGUUUAUCCGCUUGCAAAAACGAACUCAUGUAUCACAAAAGUCACUUUCACGCCUCUGUGUCCAGUACUGUGGUACUAUCUGGUAGCUGACAAAAUUUCCAUAUCCUGAUGCUACCAGGACGAAAGCGAGCCUCUUCGUGGCUGCUGAUUUGGCCCGGCCGUGAUGCACAGCGAAAGAUUUGUGGCUUGGAAGCUAGUAGGCCCAUUUGCUAAGCACGGGAAUGGGUGGUGGCUGGUGUGCUUGGAUACCACAGGAAAAAUGAGGAGGGGAGAGUUAUCAGGCUCACAGGAUGGAGCAUGUCACUACCCUAUUUUGGAUGCUAGUCUAGAUUUAUUUUAUCUAAAGCAAUAGUGGACUUUUUUACUAUUUGCAGAGGCGCCGUUGCUUCUUCUACUGUAUACUCUGGAAAAUUGGACUGGCUUUUGACUGGACGUAAUUGCAACAACUGCUUCUACAUUCAGAUACUGUUUUACUGUACUGGAAGAUUAUUUUGAUGGAUAAACUGAGCUGCUAACUGAUAAGAGCGUAGGCGCGCUUAGUCCGCUUUUGCCAGUUGCAAAUUGCAUUCUGGGCAGAGUAGCUAAUCAUGAAUCAUUUGAUCAUUGGUCUUUACUGUACCAAUCCAUGGUCCCAACCUCGAAGACAUAGUAAGCAUACAAAAAAAAAGACUAUGCAAUUAUAGAAAUUGUAUUGCUGUGUCCAAAUAAAGACAUGUUGUAAACAUUGCAGGAAAUCAAGUAGGUAAAACAGUGAAAUUGGAUAGAUCAUCUGCUAACGAGUAUUCCAACAGGCUUGCCGUUUUGAGACAUCAACCACACAUAUUUCAGAACUUCACGGACAACAUUCUUGUUUCGUGGACUUGUUCUCAAUCU